GGGAAGAGCUCAAAUUUAUAAUCUGGCACCUUCGGUGUCCGAGUUGUAAUCUCUAGAAAUGUUUUCCGCGUUGGACCGCACACAAGUCUGUUGGAAUACAGCGGCAUAGUGGUGAGACCCCCGUAUAUGGUGCGGACGCCCAGCGCUUUGUGAUACAUUUUCGAAGAGUCGAGUUGUUUGGGAAUGCAGCUCAAAUUGGGUGGUAAAUUCCAUCUAAAGCUAAAUAUUGGCGAGAGACCGAUAGCGAACAAGUACCGUGAGGGAAAGAUGAAAAGCACUUUGGAAAGAGAGUUAACAGUACGUGAAAUUGUUGGAAGGGAAACGCUUGAAGUCAGACUUGCUUGCUGAGCAAUCGGUUUGCAGGCCAGCAUCAGUUUUCCGGGAUGGAUAAUGGUAGAGAGAAGGUAGCAGUUUCGGCUGUGUUAUAGCUCUCUGCUGGAUACAUCUUGGGGGACUGAGGAACGCAGUGUGCCUUUGGCGGGGGUUUCGACCUCUUCACACUUAGGAUGCUGGUGGAAUGGCUUUAAACGACCCGUCUUGA
This 541-nucleotide ribosomal RNA is filed under the name Rhodotorula mucilaginosa. RNAcentral's name for it is "partial large subunit ribosomal RNA". It matches the Rfam family "Eukaryotic large subunit ribosomal RNA", at positions 100 to 657 of the family's 3401-position model. The record is from RNAcentral. Lineage: Eukaryota; Fungi; Basidiomycota; Microbotryomycetes; Sporidiobolales; Sporidiobolaceae.